UAGGGAAUCUUCCACAAUGGGCGAAAGCCUGAUGGAGCAACGCCGCGUGUGAUGAAGGCUUUCGGGUCGUAAAGCACUGUUGUAUGGGAAGAACAGCUAGAAUAGGAAAUGAUUUUAGUUUGACGGUACCAUACCAGAAAGGGACGGCUAAAUACGUGUCAG
RNAcentral lists this ribosomal RNA (162 nucleotides) under uncultured bacterium. Its description in RNAcentral is "partial 16S rRNA". It matches the Rfam family "Bacterial small subunit ribosomal RNA", at positions 355 to 511 of the family's 1533-position model. The record is from RNAcentral.